UGGUGCCCAGGUCCGGCGCGGCCUGUUGGAGAGCUUGGCGAGGCACCGUUCUCCAUAGACUCAUUGAACGCUUUAGCUCAAACACCAUUCCUCUGACCCAGGAGUUCAUUUCAAGAUGAAAGAAGUAAGACAAUGAGAUAAAGCCCAUGGGCUUCACUGGUCUUAUAAUGUGCUCCAUUAUUCAAGAUCCAGGAUAUACGAAAAGAAAACAGAUCAGCCUCUUUCCUGAUAAGAAGAGUAACCAAGAAGGCCAUCUGCAAGAACUAAGUGGU
This is a long non-coding RNA of Globicephala melas (long-finned pilot whale), 272 nucleotides long. RefSeq lists it as uncharacterized. The record is from RefSeq and is a predicted model, not a curated record. Lineage: Eukaryota; Metazoa; Chordata; Mammalia; Artiodactyla; Delphinidae.